RNAcentral lists this ribosomal RNA (440 nucleotides) under uncultured bacterium. RNAcentral's name for it is "partial 16S ribosomal RNA". It matches the Rfam family "Bacterial small subunit ribosomal RNA", at positions 338 to 795 of the family's 1533-position model. The record is from RNAcentral.
CCUACGGGAGGCAGCAGUGGGGGAUAUUGCACAAUGGGGGAAACCCUGAUGCAGCGACGCCGCGUGAGGGAAGAAGUAUCUCGGUAUGUAAAGCCCUAUCAGUAGGGAAGAAAAUGACGGUACCUGACGAAGAAGCACCGGCUAAAUACGUGCCAGCAGCCGCGGUAAUACGGAUGGGGCAAGCGUUAUCCGGAUUUACUGGGCGUAAAGGGAGCGCAGGCGGCGUGCCAAGUCUGAUGUGAAAUCCCGGGGCCCAACCCCAGGACUGCAUUGGAAACUGGCGGUCUGGAGUAUCGGAGGGGUAGGCGGAAUUCUUGGUGUAGCGGUGAAAUGCGUAGAUAUUAAGAGGAACACCCGUGGCGAAGGCGGCCUGCUGGACCAUGACUGACGCUGAGGCUCGAAAGCGUGGGGAGCAAACAGGAUUAGAUACCCGAGUAGUC